UUGAUCUCAAAUCAGGUAGGACUACCCGCUGAACUUAAGCAUAUCAAUAAGCGGAGGAAAAGAAACUAACAAGGAUUCCCCUAGUAACUGCGAGUGAAGCGGGAAGAGCUCAAAUUUAAAAUCUGGCGUGCCUCCGGUCGUCCGAGUUGUAGUCUGGAGAAGCGUCUUCCGUGUUGGACCGUGUAUAAGUCCCUUGGAACAGGGCGUCAUAGAGGGUGAGAAUCCCGUCUUUGACACGGACUACCAAUGCUCUGUGAUGCGCUCUCAAAGAGUCGAGUUGUUUGGGAAUGCAGCUCAAA
RNAcentral lists this ribosomal RNA (299 nucleotides) under uncultured Thelephoraceae. RNAcentral describes it as "partial 28S ribosomal RNA". It matches the Rfam family "Eukaryotic large subunit ribosomal RNA", at positions 1 to 291 of the family's 3401-position model. Lineage: Eukaryota; Fungi; Basidiomycota; Agaricomycetes; Thelephorales; Thelephoraceae. The record is from RNAcentral.